This 432-nucleotide ribosomal RNA is filed under the name uncultured bacterium. RNAcentral describes it as "partial 16S ribosomal RNA". It matches the Rfam family "Bacterial small subunit ribosomal RNA", at positions 29 to 507 of the family's 1533-position model. The record is from RNAcentral.
ACGCACGCUGGCGGCAUGCCUCACACCUGCCAGUCGAACGAGACCUUCGGGUCUAGUGGCGCACGGGUGCGUAACGCGUGGGAACCUGCCCUUAGGUUCGGAAUAACUCCCCGAAAGGGGUGCUAAUACCGGAUAAUGUCUUCGGACCAAAGAUUUAUCGCCUUUGGAUGGGCCCGCGUUGGAUUAGCUAGUUGGUAGGGUAAAAGCCUACCAAGGCGACGAUCCAUAGCUGGUCUGAGAGGAUGAUCAGCCACACUGGGACUGAGACACGGCCCAGACUCCUACGGGAGGCAGCAGUGGGGAAUAUUGGACAAUGGGCGAAAGCCUGAUCCAGCAAUGCCGCGUGAGUGAUGAAGGCCUUAGGGUUGUAAAGCUCUUUUACCCGGGAUGAUAAUGACAGUACCGGGAGAAUAAGCUCCGGCUAACUCCGUG